UUUUUCGCAAAUCUGAACCAAAUAACUCUUGCAUGUGUCACAAAGUCAGAUAGGUGCCAUAUCUCACAUGUAUAAACCAUAAAUCUCUUCUAUAUUACACAAAACCAGAUUUCACUUUCACUUGAGUGAAUUCCAGAAGUAAUCAACUCUAUAUGAACCAUAAAUCUCUUCCAUAUUUCACAAAACAAGAUUUCACCUUCACAAAUCUAACACUGAACAAAAAUCCAAGCCGAGCACAAAUUCAGAAAAAAAAAACAAAGAACAUUGUCAGCCCUGAUUUCUUUCGACGCUCCCAAAUCUUCAGAGGAUAAUCGCCGUUUAUCUAGGUAAAAACCAAUAUCAUGCAUAACAAAGAAAAACUAACUCUGAACAGAUGCAGAUAGGUUAGGGGCGCUGGGCUCCAUGACUCACCAGAGGCAGCUGGUGGCGGAAGUGCUUGGAGUCGCGGGAUCCGGCGCCGACCGUGAGCUGCGACCCGCUGUGGUGGGUGGCCGUUGUGGUUCCCAGGCGAGGAUGGCGGCCGGGCAAAAAGGAUGUCGGAGGACGGACUUGUGGUGGGCAGGAUCGAGGAACCUCGUCGGCGCAGGUCACCCCAAUGCCGACAACAGUGGAUCCGUCUUCCGCCGGUGUGAUUCGGCCUCACUCCUAGCCAUCCGCCUGGUACAGCGGUGCCGUCGCCAGUCCAGGGCUCCUCUCACGAGCCACAGGAGAGAAAAGGGGAAGAGAGAGAGAGGGGGUGUAUUUGGUAGCAUGUAUUGUCCUAGCCUAGUUGUU
This 774-nucleotide long non-coding RNA is filed under the name Triticum aestivum (bread wheat). RNAcentral's name for it is "long non-coding RNA (TAES_LNC015914)". The record is from RNAcentral. Lineage: Eukaryota; Viridiplantae; Streptophyta; Magnoliopsida; Poales; Poaceae.